This 253-nucleotide ribosomal RNA is filed under the name uncultured bacterium. Its description in RNAcentral is "partial 16S ribosomal RNA". It matches the Rfam family "Bacterial small subunit ribosomal RNA", at positions 524 to 776 of the family's 1533-position model. The record is from RNAcentral.
UACGUAGGUGGCAAGCGUUAUCCGGAUUUACUGGGUGUAAAGGGCGUGUAGGCGGGGGCGCAAGUCAGAUGUGAAAACCACGGGCUCAACCUGUGGCCUGCAUUUGAAACUGUGUUUCUUGAGUACUGGAGAGGCAGACGGAAUUCCUAGUGUAGCGGUGAAAUGCGUAGAUAUUAGGAGGAACACCAGUGGCGAAGGCGGUCUGCUGGACAGCAACUGACGCUGAGGCGCGAAAGCGUGGGGAGCAAACAGG